UUUACGUGUGACACAUAUGAUUUGGUUUAUCGAUGUAUUAUAAAGUUGUUCAAGACGCACAUCCAGCCAUAAGAAAGCCAUAACGUCAUACAAGGACUGAAAGGUGACGUUUGCAACGGUAAACUCUUUUUGUGUGAAGGAACAUUCUUCUUUUUGAUCAUUUUUGUGUUUGUGACGAAGCGGACUCAUUCCCUGUUUGCGUAAAUGCGGCCAGCGAGUCGCUGUAAAAAGUCAGUCCAUCCUCGCCGACUUCAACACCUCUUCAUGACAACUUGUUCUGCCUCCGACCUCGUGGAAACUCAAGAAACUCGGGAAAACCUGUCGAGACUCGAAGAACUCGUGGCGACUCGAAAAAC
Molecule: long non-coding RNA, 356 nt
Organism: Amphiprion ocellaris (clown anemonefish)
Lineage: Eukaryota; Metazoa; Chordata; Actinopteri; Pomacentridae
Source: Ensembl